GUCCACACUGUAAACGUUGGAUACUAGCUUUUCGUGAGAAUGAUCAUGAGUAGGCUAAGGGAAACCGAUAAGUAUCCCACCUGGGGAGUACGCUCGCAAGGGUGAAACUCAAAGUAAUUGACGGGGGCCCGCACAAGCGGUGGAGCAUGUGGUUUAAUUCGAUGAUACGCGAGGAACCUUACCUGGGCUAGAAUGCCCUUGACACGUGCAGAAAGGUACGUUUCCUUCGGGACAAGGUGCAAGGUGCUGCAUGGUUGUCGU
This 261-nucleotide ribosomal RNA is filed under the name uncultured bacterium. RNAcentral's name for it is "partial 16S ribosomal RNA". It matches the Rfam family "Bacterial small subunit ribosomal RNA", at positions 793 to 1055 of the family's 1533-position model. The record is from RNAcentral.